GGGUAAACCUGAGAAACCCGAAAGGUCGAAAGGGGAAAUUCAUUCGCGUUUCGGCCGUCGGAGUUGUGCGUUCGUGUGACGGAUGGCGCUUGCGUCGUCCGCGCCUUACGUGCUUCGAACCGGCGUCGAACGCGUGCACUUUUCCUCUAGUAGGACGUCGCGAUCCGUUGGGUGUCUGUCUAAGGCUUGGGGUGGAGCCCACGUGGACGUUUCACGACGUAUCCGCGUGGACCCUCGACGUCCCGGCAGACUCGCUCGACGGUACAUAGAUGGCGUGGGGCCGCUACUCAGUUAGCGUUCGGCCCGUAGCAAGCGCGUUCUGUGUUUGAUGGCGAUCGGACCUGGUGCCGAUUCUGUCCCAGAACGACUGUUGGCUGCGGUGUUCUCGAACAGACCUCUUUGAAACGCCGAUCAGCGACGCUAUAGCUUUGGGUACUUUCAGGACCC
This 447-nucleotide ribosomal RNA is filed under the name Orthaltica copalina. RNAcentral's name for it is "eukaryotic LSU rRNA". Lineage: Eukaryota; Metazoa; Arthropoda; Insecta; Coleoptera; Chrysomelidae. The record is from RNAcentral.